AACGGCCGUACCAUGCUGAAUAUACCGGUUCUCGUUAGAUCACCGAAGUCAAGCAUUAUUGGGCGCGGUCAGUACUUGGGUGGGUGACCACCUGGGAACACCGCGUGCCGUU
This 112-nucleotide ribosomal RNA is filed under the name Caerostris darwini. The record is from RNAcentral. Lineage: Eukaryota; Metazoa; Arthropoda; Arachnida; Araneae; Araneidae.